AUGGAAUCACCAAAUGCUCUCAAAUCUAGUCUUCCUCCUCAUCCCCAAUCUAUUGAAGAAAAAUCAGAUAGGGAGAAGAAAAUUGAUGAGUGGCUUCCAGUUAAUGCUGAUAGAAGUGUAAAAUGGUGGUACUCAGCUUUCCACAAUAUCACUGCCAUGGUUGGAGCUGGUGUUCUUGGUCUCCCUUAUGCUAUAUCACAGCUUGGAUGGGGUCCUGGUUGA
Molecule: non-coding RNA, 222 nt
Organism: Vicia faba (fava bean)
Lineage: Eukaryota; Viridiplantae; Streptophyta; Magnoliopsida; Fabales; Fabaceae
Source: the annotation of a GenBank genome assembly